UACGGGGGGAGCAAGCGUUGUUCGGAUUUACUGGGCGUAAAGGGCGCGUAGGCGGCCUCCGCAAGUCAAUUGUGAAAUCUCCGGGCUUAACUCGGAAAGGUCAACUGAUACUGCGGGGCUAGAGUGCGGAAGGGGCAACUGGAAUUCUUGGUGUAGCGGUGAAAUGCGUAGAUAUCUGGAGGAACACCGGUGGCGAAGGCGGCAUCCUGGACCGGUAUUGACGCUGAGGCGCGAAAGCCAGGGGAGCAAACGGG
RNAcentral lists this ribosomal RNA (254 nucleotides) under uncultured bacterium. Its description in RNAcentral is "partial 16S ribosomal RNA". It matches the Rfam family "Bacterial small subunit ribosomal RNA", at positions 524 to 776 of the family's 1533-position model. The record is from RNAcentral.